This is a microRNA precursor of Oryza sativa Indica Group (long-grained rice), 205 nucleotides long. It matches the Rfam family "MIR812 microRNA precursor family". The record is from Rfam. NCBI's taxonomy places the organism in Eukaryota, Viridiplantae, Streptophyta, Magnoliopsida, Poales, Poaceae.
AAUAAGUGUAGCCAUGAGUUUCCACGCCCAACUUUGAUCGUCCGUAUUAUUUGAAAUUUUUUUAUAAUUAGCAUUUUUAUUGUUAUGAGAUGAUAAAAUAUAAAUAGUACUUUACUCGUGACUUAUAUUUUUAAUUUUUUUCAAAAAAUUUUCAAAUAAGACGAAAGGUCAAAAUUAGACACGAAAAAUCAUAGCUACACUUAUU